Molecule: ribosomal RNA, 1291 nt
Filed under: uncultured bacterium
Lineage: Bacteria
Description: bacterial SSU rRNA
Rfam family: Bacterial small subunit ribosomal RNA
Source: RNAcentral
CGAGGGGCAGCGGGGUUGUAGCAAUACAACUGCCGGCGACCGGCGCACGGGUGAGUAACACGUAUGUAACCUGCCCUCUGCAGGGGGAUAAGCGGAAGAAAUUCCGUCUAAUACCGCAUAAUACAAUUUGGAGACAUCUCCGGGUUGUCAAAGGAGUGAUCCGGCAGAGGAUGGACAUGCGGCGCAUUAGCUAGUCGGCGGGGUAACGGCCCACCGAGGCUACGAUGCGUAGGGGUUCUGAGAGGAAGGUCCCCCACACUGGUACUGAGACACGGACCAGACUCCUACGGGAGGCAGCAGUGAGGAAUAUUGGUCAAUGGGCGGAAGCCUGAACCAGCCAAGUCGCGUGAGGGAAGACGGUCCUAUGGAUUGUAAACCUCUUUUGCAGGGGAGCAAGGCGCGGUACGUGUACCGCGAAGGAGAGUACCCUGAGAAAAAGCAUCGGCUAACUCCGUGCCAGCAGCCGCGGUAAUACGGAGGAUGCGAGCGUUAUCCGGAUUUAUUGGGUUUAAAGGGUGCGCAGGCGGACUGUUAAGUCAGCGGUAAAAUGUCGGUGCUCAACACCGGCCGGCCGUUGAAACUGGCAGCCUUGAGUGAGCGAGAAGUAUGCGGAAAUGCGUGGUGUAGCGGUGAAAUGCAUAAAUAUCACGCAGAACUCGGAUGGGGAAGGCAGCAUACCGGGGUUCAACUGACGUUCAGGCACGAAAAGCGUGGGGUAUCGAACAGGUUUAGAUACCUUGGUAGUCCACGCAGUAAACGAUGAAUGCUCACUGUCCGGGCCGUUUAAGGCCUGGGUGGUCAAGCGAAAGCGUUAAGCAUUCCACCUGGGGAGUACGCCGGCAACGGUGAAACUCAAAGGAAUUGACGGGGGCCCGCACAAGCGGAGGAACAUGUGGUUUAAUUCGAUGAUACGCGAGGAACCUUACCCGGGCUCAAACGGAAGGGGACAGUAUGAGAAAUCAUACAUUCCUUCGGGACCGCUUCCGAGGUGCUGCAUGGUUGUCGUCAGCUCGUGCCGUGAGGUGUCGGCUUAAGUGCCAUAACGAGCGCAACCCCUAUCGACAGUUGCUAGCAGGUAAAGCUGAGGACUCUGUCGAGACUGCCGGCGCAAGCUGUGAGGAAGGCGGGGAUGACGUCAAAUCAGCACGGCCCUUACGUCCGGGGCGACACACGUGUUACAAUGGCAGGUACAGCGGGAAGCCACCCGGCGACGGGGCGCAGAACCCGAAAACCUGUCUCAGUUCGGAUUGGAGUAGGCAACCCGACUCCAUGAAGCUGGAUUCGCUAGUAA